GGCUUAGAAGCAGCCAUCCUUGAAAGAGUGCGUAAUAGCUCACUGGUCAAGUGAUUCUGCGCCGAUAAUGUAGCGGGGCUCAAGUACACCGCCGAAGUUGUGGCAAUGAUCUUUUUGGAUUGUUGGGUAGGGGAGCGUCGUGUGGCCGUUGAAGCUGCGGUGUAAACCAGUGGUGGAGGCUAUGCGAGUGAGAAUGCAGGCAUGAGUAGCGAAAGAUGAGUGAGAAACUCAUCCGCCGGAUGAUCAAGGGUUCCAGGGUCAAGUUAAUCUGCCCUGGGUUAGUCGGGGCCUAAGGCGAGGCCGACAGGCGUAGUCGAUGGAUAACGGGUUGAUAUUCCCGUACCGGUGAGAAACCGCCCAUACUGAUAUUGUGAUGCUAACCAUGCGAAGCAUGAUGUGCAGGCUUUUGUUUGUGUGUUGUGUGGGUUGUGGGACCCGAUCUUUGGAGGUAAACGUGUUAACAGGUGUGACGCAGGAAGGUAGCCAAGCCACGCGAUGGUUGUCGUGGUCUAAGCGUGUAGGGUUGUCGGUUGUUAAAUGCGCCGGCUGUGUGCCUGAGACGUGAUGGGACCCUGUUUUUGGGGGAUUUGGUGAUCCUAUGCUGCCGAGAAAAGCAUCGGCGUGAGGUUUUAGCCGCCCGUACCCUAAACCGACACAGGUGAUCAGGUAGAGAAUACUAAGGCGAUCGAGAGAAUCAUGGUUAAGGAACUCGGCAAAAUGCCCCCGUAACUUCGGGAGAAGGGGGACCUUGAGCGUGAUGGGCACUUGCUGUCUGGAGCGUGUAUGGGUCGCAGAGACCAGGGGGAAGCGACUGUUUAUCAAAAACACAGGUCCGUGCGAAGUCGUAAGACGAUGUAUACGGACUGACUCCUGCCCGGUGCUGGAAGGUUAAGAGGAUUGGUUAGCCUUUUUUGGGCGAAGCUGAGAAUUUAAGCCCCAGUAAACGGCGGUGGUAACUAUAACCAUCCUAAGGUAGCGAAAUUCCUUGUCGGGUAAGUUCCGACCUGCACGAAUGGCGUAACGACUUCCCCGCUGUCUCAACCAUGAGCUCGGCGAAAUUGCAGUACGAGUAAAGAUGCUCGUUUCGCGCAGAAGGACGGAAAGACCCCGGGACCUUUACUAUAGCUUGGUAUUGGUGUUCGCUUGGACUUGUGUAGGAUAGGUGGGAGACUGUGAAGCUGCCGCGCCAGCGGUGGUGGAGUCGUCGUUGAAAUACCAUUCUGGUUCAAGCGGUCACCUCAACCUUGGCCCGUGAUCCGGGUUGGGGACAGUGCCUGGUGGGUAGUUUAACUGGGGCGGUUGCCUCCUAAAAUGUAACGGAGGCGCUCAAAGGUUCCCUCAGCCUGGUUGGUAAUCAGGUGGCGAGUGCAAGUGUACAAGGGAGCUUGACUGUGAGACCGACGGGUCGAGCAGGUGCGAAAGCAGGAACUAGUGAUCCGGCCAUGGCACGUGGGUGCGUGGUCGCUCAACGGAUAAAAGGUACCCCGGGGAUAACAGGCUGAUCUUGCCCAAGAGUCCAUAUCGACGGCAUGGUUUGGCACCUCGAUGUCGGCUCGUCGCAUCCUGGGGCUGGAGUCGGUCCCAAGGGUUGGGCUGUUCGCCCAUUAAAGCGGUACGCGAGCUGGGUUCAGAACGUCGUGAGACAGUUCGGUCCCUAUCCGCUGCGCGCGUUGGAAAUUUGAGAAAGGCUGUCCUUAGUACGAGAGGACCGGGACGGACGAACCUCUGGUAUGUCAGUUGUACCGCCAGGUGCAUGGCUGAUUGGCUACGUUCGGGAGGGAUAACCGCUGAAAGCAUCUAAGCGGGAAGCCUGUUUCGAGAUGAGAUUUCCUGGCACUUUUUGGUGUGUGAGGCUCCUUAUAGAUGAUGAGGUUGAUAGGCCGGGUAUGGAAGCGGGGACUGAAGACUCGUGGAGUUGACUGGUACUAAUAGGCUGAAGGCUUAUUUUU
Molecule: ribosomal RNA, 1949 nt
Filed under: human metagenome
Description: bacterial LSU rRNA
Rfam family: Bacterial large subunit ribosomal RNA
Source: RNAcentral